Molecule: ribosomal RNA, 252 nt
Filed under: uncultured bacterium
Lineage: Bacteria
Description: partial 16S ribosomal RNA
Rfam family: Bacterial small subunit ribosomal RNA
Source: RNAcentral
UACGGAGGAUGCGAGCGUUAUCCGGAUUUAUUGGGUUUAAAGGGUGCGUAGGCGGAGUGUCAAGUCAGCGGUAAAAUUUCGGGGCUCAACCCCGUCGUGCCGUUGAAACUGACGCCCUUGAGUGAGUGAGAAGUAAGCGGAAUGCGUGGUGUAGCGGUGAAAUGCAUAGAUAUCACGCAGAACUCCGAUUGCGAAGGCAGCAUACCGGCGCCCUACUGACGCUGAGGCACGAAAGCGUGGGGAUCGAACAGG